GUUUGCCUACGGGGGGCAGCAGUAGGGAAUCUUCCACAAUGGACGAAAGUCUGAUGGAGCAACGCCGCGUGAGUGAAGAAGGGUUUCGGCUCGGAAAACUCUGUUGGUAGGGAAGAAAGAUAGAGGUAGUAACUGGCCUUUAUUUGACGGUAAUUACUUAGAAAGUCACGGCUAACUACGUGCCAGCAGCCGCGGGAAUACGUAGGUGGCAAGCGUUGUCCGGAUUUAUUGGGCGUAAAGCGAGUGCAGGCGGGUCAAUUAAUGU
This 265-nucleotide ribosomal RNA is filed under the name uncultured bacterium. RNAcentral describes it as "partial 16S ribosomal RNA". It matches the Rfam family "Bacterial small subunit ribosomal RNA", at positions 333 to 590 of the family's 1533-position model. The record is from RNAcentral.